AUGGCAGAGGUGGAGUAGACACUGAAGCGACUUCAGAGCCAGAAGUGAAUGCAGGGAAUCAUCGUGGUGAACACAGAAGACAAUCCCAUCAAGAGCACCAUGGACAACCCUACCACUACCCAGUAGGCCAGCCUCAUGCACAGCUUCAUCCUGAAGGCACGGAGCACCGUGCAUGAAAUCGACCCCCAGAACGAUCUCACCUUCCUUCGAAUUCGCUCCAGGAAAAAUGAGAUUAUGGUUGCACCAGAUAAAGACUAUUUCCUGAUUGUGAUUCAGAAUCCAACCGAAUAGGCCACUCUCCUGACUCCCUGUGUCAUUCCUUAAUUUAAUGCCCCCCAAGAAUGUUAAUGCCGAUCGUGUUAGCAGACUGGCACGUAACAGUCACCUUGGAGCCCACUCAGACCAAUCCAGUGAGCAUGUGUGGGCUGGCAGCUCUUCCUCCCCAACCAAAGGAACCCCUGUGCUGUGCCAGCCUUCCCCAGACCUCCAGGAGGGCCCUCUCGCCUCACUUCCAGGUUUUGGAGCAAGAACUUGCAAGAAGCCCGCACCCAGCUUCCUUCUGACCUUCAGUUCACUUUGUUGCCUUUGGAGAAGGCUGUUUUUCUUUAACUAAAAAUAACCAAAAUGCU
Non-coding RNA from Callithrix jacchus (white-tufted-ear marmoset), 629 nucleotides. NCBI's taxonomy places the organism in Eukaryota, Metazoa, Chordata, Mammalia, Primates, Cebidae. The record is from RefSeq and is a predicted model, not a curated record.